AGAAUCCCAUGGACAGAGGAGCCCAGUGGGCUAUGGUUCAUGGAGUCACAAAGAGUUGGAUGUGACUGAAGCAACUGGACACAACACAAAUACUUUAUAUCACCACCCCAGGAAUCCUGUGCAGGAAUCCUGCCAAAGAUGGGGGCAGGACAGGCAUAGCUUGGCUUUGAGGCUUCUGGUGGGCUCUCAGGCUCCCCUUUUGCCUUGCUGCUGCAGAAGGUGGCUGGAGGUGGACCCAGAAGCCCCCAGAAACCCAGAUCACACUAACUAGAUAUUCUCAAAGGUCAAACUUUGAAUUCACUGAGUUCCAGCAGCAAUGCCCAGCACCUCUAUCCUUCAGACAUUCACCAAACCCCCUUGUGGCUCAAAAAAUGUUCAAUAUGCAUUGAAAUUCACCUCAAAUUUCCUUAUAUUUUUCAGGAAAAUUUUGCCCUUCCCAUUCUCUUGGGAUUGUCUAUCAUCGGCCAGAAUACAUAUAGGGAACCAGUGGUACAAGAAUUAAACAAAAGCCUCCCUGCAUAGAUGCAGAACUGUCCAUCCAGACAAGAACCAUACUUUGUUGUUAUUACCAGCAGCAAUAACUGCUCCUACUAACCAUGCCGUAGAUUGUCUGUUCUAGAAACUGUGCUAACUGAAUUCCAUUCAGUAUCUCAUUUAACCAUCAGCUCAACAGGAAAGGUGCCCUUCUUCCCUAAAUGAUUAAACCAUUUACCUACAGGCAGCAGAGUUUCAAACUCAACUGGACUGACAUCAAAGGCCAGCCUACUGUACUUCCUCUCGUAAUUCUCUGCAAGUCACUGAGUUCCAAACUGCCCAAUCUGGACUUCAUUUGUUUAGUAACUGGGGGCCACUGGUAAUUAUUGAGUUGACACCAUGGAAUCAGUUAAUGUCUGGAACGUCACCAUUCCUAAGGUCUAUCACACCACGUCUCCAAGAGAAACUUCUCUUAGCAUCUCAGCCUAGACUUAACAAGUUCAGUAAAUGAGGGACAACAGCAGAGGGAACGCAGGCAUAACUGUGUUACUAGCCCCUGUGUUUUCUGCUGUUCCACUGGCUCAUGUCUCAGGGGAAAUGUCACAGAAGCUGGAUUUGACCUAGAAUCAGAGCUGCAGACGAUAAUCAUAACACUGCUGGGUUUUUAGUUUUGUGUUUUAAAGUAGUCUCUUCUCUUACUCUGAUUGAUGUCACUGGAAAGUUCUCUUCAUAUACACGGAGUUUCAUCCCUGAUGUGCAGACCUCCCUGUUGUCUGCUGUUUUCCCCAGAUCGCCUUCAAAAACGCUGAUUUAUUUUCAAGACAGUGUCUCAGAUCUCUGGUUCUCUUCCAUCCUCCCCUGGGAGCAACUGUGUUUAGCUUGAGUUCAUCUUCCUAAUGUGUUUCCACCAGCAAGCACGGACUCUGUCCAGAAAGACUUAAUGGGCCAGGAAAAUGCAAUUUGUGGUCAACUUAUGAACCCUUUUCCUCUUGCCUUCAUCUCAGGCUGCUUCUUCCCCCUCUCUAUAAAAAAAACAUUGUUUUAGCUUCAACAUUAUAUUUGUCUUGGGGGCAUCAGGAUUCAUUUCUGUGGGCCUUGCUGAUUCAGGCUGUUUAUAUCGGCUCAUGGAGAAACACUCACACAGGAUACUGAGCCGCCGGCCAACCUGGCUGUAGUCACGGAGAAGAGCAUCCUGACCGACCCCUCUCCUUAGGGCCAGCUAUUCCCCAGCAUAGAAGUGGAAUACUAAGAAGUGGCUAACUUUUGUACCCACCUGUCCCAGAGUGCUUGUCACAGGGCACCCCUGUGGGAGGAGAGAACGCUUAUUCAUGGUAAGUCUUUUAAACGAAUUGUCUCCGGUCUGGACAGUAGUCCCAAUAGUGAUGGAAUUUCAGGGGCACCAAAAGUGGUGGGGGGACUUGGCAUUACUCUGGUACAGGCUGCCCUAAAGGGGAGCCCCAUCCCCUCCCCUGUGCUGCUUGACAAACAGUCCCCAGGCUGCACUGCCUCAAAGCUGCGUCCCAAAACUUCCCACGCCUUACCUCCCCCCGCCCCCCGGAGAUCUUGCUGAGACGCAGAUUCUGAGUCAGCAGGUCUGGGGGGUGUGAGCUGAGCCCCCAGGUGGCACUGCAGCCGCUGGUGGUCCUCACACCUGCCUGCACGUUCGAAUCACCCUGGGAUCAUUUCAGAAAUACUAGUGCCUGGGCCGACGGCACCAGGAUCGCUGGUGAAAAGGUGCCCUCGUGGGCUUCAUUCCUAGCCAUACCAUGUGGGCCUCAUCUAGGGCUGCUGACAAAGUGAGUGCUGCUGAAGGGAGAGACAGGCAGGCGGAGCAGUGAGAGAACACAGAAGUAGCAGCAUGGAUACCACAGUCUUUUUAUUACUUAAUCUUGGUGCCUCAGUGCUUCUGCCGUAUUCUAUUCAUUAGAAGUGAGGGUUGCCCAAGGGCAUGACCACCAUGUGGGGCCCACUGGGGGCCUUCUGCACAGCUGCCUCCCACAGCCUUGUCUCUCUCACCUCACUCAUGACCCCUCAGUCACGCUUGCUGACCAGAGAGAGAAGUGAGGCUGGACUGUGAUCUGUGGCCGGAGUCCACGUGCUUAGGGAGAGGCAGUGGAAACAGGGCCCCGGGAUGCUGCAAAGAGCCCGGACAUUCUCAGAACGACAUUCAUCCAAUUAAUGUCUUUAAAAUCUUGUAUUUGCUGUAAGAAUGUAGCGCAAACUUGCCAAAGCCUUAGCAAACUGCUCUGGGGAAGCUGCAAGCUUCAAGACACAGCAUUCCCUGUGUCUUUUAACUGCACCCAGAGUAAAAAAAAAAGUAAGCUUUGGACGUGCACAUCCUGAAAUCCGCAGGUGCACCCCAUCUACCAAUAGGUGCCCAUGUGAUUCUUCUUAAAGAGAUUGAGAGAUCCGAGAGUCGAUGCUCCACGUGGAGCUGGGAAAUGAAGCCGUGCCCCACAGCUGCUGGUCCUCACAACUGAGGUUAAACCCGGGUGCAGAGACUGACUGGAAAGGGCUCUUGCUCUGGGCCAGUUUAAGUGAUUCCCCUCCUUCUGAAGAUAGUUGGGGACACGCUCCGGGCGAAAUCCACCAGUGGAGCAGAUAGAUGUGGCCCCUUCUCGCUAAAGCCAACGCGCAUGUGCGGAGCAGUUCACAGUGACUGAAGCCCUUGACCUUGAAUUAUCCUUCAGUCUUCACAGCAGCUUCGCAGAUGACAAAAACCCAACUCAAACAACUGAAGCAAAACAAAAAGGUCUUUCUAUAUAGAGGGAAAGAAGGCCCUUGGGGGCUGUGGCCUCACAGAAUCCUAACAGCUUGUGAUCCCAGUGGAAGAAAUCAUCUCUUCUGAGCAUUGCAGAAACAGGCACAGAGCUAAGGGCAUGUGAGGACACAGUGAGGAGGUCAGCAAGAGAGCCCGCACCAGAAAAUGAAUCUUUUGGCACCUUCUAGUGUCCAUAACAAUGGCACCCUACUCCAGUACCCUUGCCUGGAGAAUCCCAGGGAUGGAGGAGCCUGGUGGGCUGCCGUCUAUGGGGUCACACAGAGUCGGACAUGACUGAAGCGACUUAGCAGCAACAGCAGCAGCAGCAGUGUCCGUAACUGUGAGAAAAUAAGUUUCAGUUGUUUGAGGCACUCAGUCUAUGGUAUAUUGCUAUGUCCUUCCAAGCAGACUGAUGGAAUAGCUAACACCAUCAUAAGCAUUUUGUAAACAUCAACUAUUCUGGUGUACACCACUGAGGAAGAUACUGCUUUAUCAUUAUCUACAUAAUACAGUU
Bubalus bubalis (water buffalo) is the source of this 3749-nucleotide long non-coding RNA. RefSeq lists it as uncharacterized. The record is from RefSeq and is a predicted model, not a curated record. Lineage: Eukaryota; Metazoa; Chordata; Mammalia; Artiodactyla; Bovidae. The transcript is spliced from 4 exons.